RNAcentral lists this long non-coding RNA (2989 nucleotides) under Lathyrus oleraceus (garden pea). Its description in RNAcentral is "Pisum sativum (pea) long non-coding RNA (PSAT_LNC020322)". The record is from RNAcentral. Lineage: Eukaryota; Viridiplantae; Streptophyta; Magnoliopsida; Fabales; Fabaceae.
UUUAUUUUUAUAUUUUCAGUAUCUUCUAUGAGUAAACGAAUAUAACAACAAUUAUAUAAUAUAAUAAGAUACUUUUGAGAUUUUUCAAAAAAAUAAAAAGGUAAUAGAAAUGCAAAUGAAAUUGUGAGAGAUAUUAUAAAAGUACCGAUAUUUAUUAUAACAUACAAAUAAAAUAACUCUCUUUAAAGUAGUAUAUAAUUAUAUUUUAAAUAUUUUCAACACUUCUACGCACUCACAAUAAAAAAAAACGCACUUCCGUUUUAAAGGACGGUGACACGCUCUGUUUCGACAAUCAACGUCGGUUUGGCAAGGGAAUCGCUGAACUGCGAUGUAAAAGAAAUCAUAUUGUUCAAUUUAGUGAUCAAGUAAUGUAUGUAUGAUAAUAACAAUAAAUUUUAAAAUGAUGAGAGUAAAUGACUUACAGAUUGUGGGUCUACCUUCGGCGGCAUUGACGCCUGUGAUUACAACAAGAAACAAGAAACAAAAUAUUAUGAAAUAAUAACCACAUCUAGGAAUUUUACCCAUAUAUAUUUCCUCUUAAGCAUCUAAAUUGAAAAUUUUACUUGAAAAGUAUUUUUUUAAAUAGUUUUUUUAAUGAUAAUUAAUUAAGUAGAUGCCAUUACUUUAUAGUAGCAAAAAGACAAUCAUAAUAUUUUAGUUUUUGUUAUAUUUUUCUUUUUGUUAAAUGUCUCUUGGAUAUAUAAAAUAUCAUGUUUGUCUCUUAAGCUCAUUGAUUCAAUCACUUAAAUUUAAAGAGUUGAUUGAGAAUUUCUUAUUUUGAAUACAAUGUAUAUGUUUGAAAAAUCGAAUGAUACUGAAAAGAAGCUUGAUAAUUUAAUACGUGAAAGAAAAUUAACUUGAAUUUAAGAUGUCGAGAGAGAAGCUCUCAUCUCUCUCUAGAAACCUAUCAACCAUAAACAGUUUUUCAAUCCUCACUAUUAAAAAAUAGACCUUUUCAUAACAUCAUAUUUAUCAUGGUCUUUCCGUUAACAGUUGUAAUAGUUCUUUUUUGGAUGCUUUUUUUAUUUAUUUACGAAAGGACAUUUCACAACGGUCAUAGGUAUCAACCAUAGUGAAAGGUAUCUGGAGUGAAAUUGUUAGAAUCCCAACACAAACAAUUUUCUAUUUAUCAUGAUUUAAUGUGUUUGACUUGUAUAUCACCACAAUUUUUAUAAUCAAUCAUGUUGUAAGUUUCAAUCAUUUCAUCACGGUUCGUAUUGUCAACCUUGGUGAAAGAUAUUACUUAUUUAUAUAUAAACGAAAUUAUCCCUCUUUUUAGUCCAUUACAACCGUCUCUCUCAAAACAAAACCCUAACAUCUCUUUCACUCGUUUCUCUCAAAACUAAAUCUUAACAUCUUUGUCACUCAUCUCUCUCAUAUUGAAACUCCAAUCUUAUCCAGCCAACUCGUCUUCUUCGAAGGUUUCUUUUCUUUUAUCAUAUCUUAGCAAAUGACUACUUUACAGGUUCGUCUUCACUAUAGUUUAUGUUCCAAAAUCUGUUUAUCUAUUAUUGUUUAUGUUUCAUCAUGUUUGAAGUUUUUACCUGUUUCAUUAUGUAGGUGGGGAUGCUUGUUUCAAUAACAAGGACAAAGCUAAAGUGAGCGUUACAAAUUUUUGUGCAAGAUCCAGAAUGACAUCCAUUCAAAAUAGACACGAGUUUGCCGCUCUAACUUCAGCUUCAUCCUUAUUUCAUUGUGGAUGUCAUUAUGGGACAUGUAAGUUUCUGAAACGUUCUAUGAGUUGAUACGUUUGUUGUAUCAUGUAUGUUGUUUAUGGUUUGUUGUUUCUGAAUGUUAUUGUUAAUAUUCAUUUAAAAGAUGAGUUUAUUAUAUAUUAUGUGGUUUGAGUGUUUUUCCAGUUCCUUACCAAAUCUAUAACUUUUCAGAUUGCAUUAGAAAACUCUAACAUGAUAGAUAAAUUUAUAUUAGAAAAUAAGUACACGUUUAAUUCUUGACAAUAAUUCUUUAGUUUGUUAUCAACAUAUUAUUCUUUAACCAUUAGAACUUUAUUUAGUGAUUGUAGAUCUUCAACCUCCCAUCUCUGCACCUCUAAUUUUAUUUGUAAAAUAAAUAAUAUUUUGUAAAAUGAACUAGAGUUGUAUGAAGGGACGGUUGAAUAUCUACAAUCAUUAAACAAAGUUUUAACUGUUAAAAAAAAUACGGAUAAGGAGCUGAAGAACUCUUGUCAAGCAUUGAACGUGAACUUGUUCUUCAAAUAUAACUUAAUUUAUCGUAUUAUAAUGUUCUAGAUCAAAUUGAAAGAUUAUAUGUUUAGUGAGCAUUGGCAAAAUAAGCAUUCCACAUAAUUUAUAAUAAACUCAGGUGUAUAUAUCACAAUAGUUGUUUAUACCAAACGUUGUUAAAUAUUAUGCAUUAUAGAAUAUCACCAUGAAAUGUUUAAAGUAACAGUUGUGGUAGGUAGCACGUUACAUAGCUUAUAAUCACAGUCGCACGACCGUGGUGGAAAACAUCGUGCAUACAAUCACAAUUUACCUCACAACGGUUAGUUCAGCGUGGUGGUAUCCUUUUUCCAACCGUUGAGAAAUAUAUUUUCUGUAGUAGUGCAUAAUUUGUUAUCAUCACUACUACGGAAAAUUCCUCUCGUAACGGUUGGAAAAUGAAUACUAUCACGGUAUACCAACCAUUGUGAGGUAUGGUAUGGUUGUAAGUAUGUUAUUUUCCGCCACGAGCGUGUGACCGUUGUGAUAAAUUAGGUAGUGCAUCAUAUAUCACAACAGUUAGAAUAAACAACCAUUGUGCAAUAUAUAUAGAGGUCAUGGGUUUGAAACCCAAUGAUUUUAUGAUAUCUAAUUAAUUGACACGCUACUUAUUACAAUGGUUAUUGUAAAUAAUCAUUGUGAAAUACUUUAUUUUUUAUUUUAUUUUAUUUUAUUUUUUCAUAUAUUACAAACAUAUUUUUUUACGUGUAUUUUAUACAUAUAUUACCUAAAUAUUUUUUACAUCAAUGUCAAAAAUAUUAUUUACAAAC